GAGGUCGGCUGGAGUAAAGCUGUUGCGCGCUUCGGGCGCGCGCAGGAAGCCGGUCACGGUUGCCGGUCCGGAGGCGGGCCUGAUCUCGCC
Molecule: transfer RNA, 90 nt
Filed under: Allobosea sp. LC85
Lineage: Bacteria; Pseudomonadati; Pseudomonadota; Alphaproteobacteria; Hyphomicrobiales; Alloboseaceae
Description: Bosea sp. LC85 tRNA-Pro
Source: RNAcentral